UAGUUAUCAAGAAAGGUGGAGGGAAUAGACCCUUUGAAACCUUAGCAACCCUUUGCGCAAUGCAAUGAAGGUGCUAAAUUCUACCAAAUGUGCUUUAUGCAUUGGCGGCAGAUAACGA
This 118-nucleotide non-coding RNA is filed under the name Paracellulophaga tyrosinoxydans. RNAcentral describes it as "Cellulophaga tyrosinoxydans SAM-I sequence". It matches the Rfam family "SAM riboswitch aptamer (S box leader)". Rfam says of the family: The SAM riboswitch is found upstream of a number of genes which code for proteins involved in methionine or cysteine biosynthesis in Gram-positive bacteria. The SAM riboswitch acts at the level of transcription termination control. Lineage: Bacteria; Pseudomonadati; Bacteroidota; Flavobacteriia; Flavobacteriales; Flavobacteriaceae. The record is from Rfam by way of RNAcentral.